GGUCCUACGGGGGGCAGCAGUGGGGGAUAUUGCACAAUGGGGGAAACCCUGAUGCAGCAACGCCGCGUGAGUGAAGAAGUAUUUCGGUAUGUAAAGCUCUAUCAGCAGGGAAGAGAAUGACGGUACCUGACUAAGAAGCCCCGGCUAACUACGUGCCAGCAGCCGCGGUAAUACGUAGGGGGCAAGCGUUAUCCGGAUUUACUGGGUGUAAAGGGAGCGUAGACGGCAGCGCAAGUCUGGAGUGAAAUGCCGGGGUUCAACCCCGGAACUGCUUUGGAAACUGUGCAGCUAGAGUGCGGGAGAGG
Molecule: ribosomal RNA, 305 nt
Filed under: uncultured bacterium
Lineage: Bacteria
Description: bacterial SSU rRNA
Rfam family: Bacterial small subunit ribosomal RNA
Source: RNAcentral